AUUGAACGCUGGCGGCAGGCCUAACACAUGCAAGUCGAACGAGUGGCGGACGGGUGAGUAAUGCCUGGGAAACUGCCUUAUGGUGGGGGAUAACUACUGGAAACUGUAGCUAAUACCGCAUACCAUCGGAUGUGCCCAGAUCGGAUUAGCUAGUAGGUGGGGUAAAGGCUCACCUAGGCGACGAUCCCUAGCUGGUCUGAGAGGAUGAUCAGCCACACUGGAACUGAGACACGGUCCAGACUCCUACGGGAGGCAGCAGUGGGGAAUAUUGCACAAUGGGCGCAAGCCUGAUGCAGCCAUGCCGCGUGUAUGAAGAAGGCCUUCGGGUUGUAAAGUACUUUCAGCGGGGAGGCGGUACCCGAAGAAGAAGCACCGGCUAACUCCGUGCCAGCAGCCGCGGUAAUAC
This 406-nucleotide ribosomal RNA is filed under the name uncultured bacterium. RNAcentral describes it as "partial 16S ribosomal RNA". It matches the Rfam family "Bacterial small subunit ribosomal RNA", at positions 30 to 526 of the family's 1533-position model. The record is from RNAcentral.